GGCGGUUCUCGGGUGAUGCGACUUGGAAUCAGGCUCCCUCCUUUCUGAUUCUGGGUGUGUCACGCGAGAAUCGCA
Myotis lucifugus (little brown bat) is the source of this 75-nucleotide non-coding RNA. The record is from Rfam. NCBI's taxonomy places the organism in Eukaryota, Metazoa, Chordata, Mammalia, Chiroptera, Vespertilionidae.